AAAGACGGUUUCGGCUGUCACUUACAGAUGGACCCGCGGCGCAUUAGCUAGUUGGUGAGGUAACGGCUCACCAAGGCGACGAUCCGUAGCCGACCUGAGAGGGUGAUCGGCCACACUGGGACUGAGACACGGCCCAGACUCUACGGGAGGCAGCAGUAGGGAAUCUUCCGCAAUGGACGAAAGUCUGACGGAGCAACGCCSCGUGAGUGAUGAAGGUUUYCGGAUCGUAAAGCUCUGUUGUUAGGGAAGAACAAGUGCAAGAGUAACUGCUUGCACCUUGACGGUACCUAACCAGAAAGCCACGGCUAACUACGUGCCAGCAGCCGCGGUAAUACGUAGGUGGCAAGCGUUGUCCGGAAYUAUUGGGCGUAAAGGGCUCGCAGGCGGUUUCUUAAGUCUGAUGUGAAAGCCCCCGGCUCAACCGGGGAGGGUCAUUGGAAACUGGGAAACUUGAGUGCAGAAGAGGAGAGUGGAAUUCCACGUGUAGCGGUGAAAUGCGUAGAGAUGUGGAGGAACACCAGUGGCGAAGGCGACUCUCUGGUCUGUAACUGACGCUGAGGAGCGAAAGCGUGGGGAGCGAACAGGAUUAGAUACCCUGGUAGUCCACGCCGUAAACGAUGAGUGCUAAGUGUUAGGGGGUU
RNAcentral lists this ribosomal RNA (641 nucleotides) under Bacillus subtilis. RNAcentral describes it as "bacterial SSU rRNA". It matches the Rfam family "Bacterial small subunit ribosomal RNA", at positions 202 to 832 of the family's 1533-position model. The record is from RNAcentral. Lineage: Bacteria; Bacillati; Bacillota; Bacilli; Caryophanales; Bacillaceae.